AGGACGAACGCUGGCGGCGUGCUUAACACAUGCAAGUCGAGCGGUAAGGCCUUUCGGGGUACACGAGCGGCGAACGGGUGAGUAACACGUGGGUGGUCUGCCCUGCACUCUGGGAUAAGCCUGGGAAACUGGGUCUAAUACCGGAUAUGACCUGCUCUCGCAUGGGGGUGGGUGGAAAGAUUUAUCGGUGCAGGAUGGGCCCGCGGCCUAUCAGCUUGUUGGUGGGGUAAUGGCCUACCAAGGCGACGACGGGUAGCCGACCUGAGAGGGUGACCGGCCACACUGGGACUGAGACACGGCCCAGACUCCUACGGGAGGCAGCAGUGGGGAAUAUUGCACAAUGGGCGAAAGCCUGAUGCAGCGACGCCGCGUGAGGAUGAAGGCCUUCGGGUUGUAAACCUCUUUCAGCAGGGACGAAGCGCAAGUGACGGUACCUGCAGAAGAAGCACCGGCUAACCUACGUGCCAGCAGCCGC
This 475-nucleotide ribosomal RNA is filed under the name uncultured soil bacterium. RNAcentral describes it as "bacterial SSU rRNA". It matches the Rfam family "Bacterial small subunit ribosomal RNA", at positions 26 to 518 of the family's 1533-position model. The record is from RNAcentral.